AUUGAACGCUGGCGGAAUGCUUUACACAUGCAAGUCGAACGGCAGCACGGACUUCGGUCUGGUGGCGAGUGGCGAACGGGUGGGUAAUGUAUCGGAACGUGCCCAGUCGUGGGGGAUAACGUAGUGAAAAUUACGCUAAUACCGCAUACGAUCUAUGGAUGAAAGCGGGGGAUCGCAAGACCUCGCGCGAUUGGAGUGGCCGAUAUCAGAUUAGGUAGUUGGUGGGGUAAAGGCCCACCAAGCCAACGAUCUGUAGCUGGUCUGAGAGGACGACCAGCCACACUGGAACUGAGACACGGUCCAGACUCCUACGGGAGGCAGCAGUGGGGAAUUUUGGACAAUGGGCGAAAGCCUGAUCCAGCCAUUCCGCGUGCAGGAUGAAGGCCCUCGGGUUGUAAACUGCUUUUGUACAGAACGAAAAGGUUUCUACUAAUACUAGGAGCUCAUGACGGUACUGUAAGAAUAAGCACCGGCUAACUACGUGCCAGCAGCCGCGGUAA
This 500-nucleotide ribosomal RNA is filed under the name uncultured bacterium. Its description in RNAcentral is "partial 16S ribosomal RNA". It matches the Rfam family "Bacterial small subunit ribosomal RNA", at positions 30 to 523 of the family's 1533-position model. The record is from RNAcentral.